This 368-nucleotide ribosomal RNA is filed under the name uncultured organism. Its description in RNAcentral is "bacterial SSU rRNA". It matches the Rfam family "Bacterial small subunit ribosomal RNA", at positions 526 to 896 of the family's 1533-position model. The record is from RNAcentral.
CGGAGGAUCCAAGCGUUAUCCGGAUUCAUUGGGUUUAAAGGGUGCGUAGGCGGAAUGAUAAGUCAGUGGUGAAAUCCUGCAGCUUAACUGCAGAACUGCCAUUGAUACUGUCAAUCUUGAGUACAUUUGAUAUGGGCGGAAUGUGUCAUGUAGCGGUGAAAUGCUUAGAUAUGACACAGAACACCGAUUGCGAAGGCAGCUCACAAAACUGUAACUGACGCUGAGGCACGAAAGCGUGGGUAUCAAACAGGAUUAGAUACCCUGGUAGUCCACGCUGUAAACUAUGAUUACUCGAUGUUUGCGAUACACUGUAAGCGUCUAAGCGAAAGCGAUAAGUAAUCCACCUGGGGAGUACGCUCGCAAGAGUG